Long non-coding RNA from Lepidothrix coronata (blue-crowned manakin), 1315 nucleotides. RefSeq lists it as uncharacterized. The record is from RefSeq and is a predicted model, not a curated record. NCBI's taxonomy places the organism in Eukaryota, Metazoa, Chordata, Aves, Passeriformes, Pipridae. The transcript is spliced from 3 exons.
UCUGUGGUUUUAUCGCGUGUAAUCCCACACACAACCAUUCCCGGGCAAGCAGAACAGGCAGAGUCCCAGCAAUGACUCCACAACCUGUCUGCAUGGUCACAACAUCUCUAGCUGCCUGAGACGUGCACACAUCACGAGUGUGCCUCAUGCUAGAGGCAAACACAUCGCUGCUUCUUGGAGGCUGCAAGCACCAGUGAGGCACCAGAUUUCACGGGAUGGAUUGGAGCCUCACGACUCCAGGUGCAAGGACAACAAACAGGAAUGCCAGUGGUUACAAAACAUGGACUGUAAGUAACUGGUGGGUAAUUAUGGAGGGACGUGUCUGUGUGGCUCAGCUCCAACAUCAACAGAGGGAAGAGCCUUGCCUAUUGAGUCAUCAGCAGCAUUUCCUUCCAGCCCCUGGGUUUUCCGACAGGUCCCCUCUGAGUUACUGUCCCAACCCACAGUGGUUGAGCUCAUAAAGGCUGCUGAGCUCACAUCCCCAGGGAACAGGGCGCCAGUCCCCCACAGCCAGGAGAGGUUUCCUGGCCACAGCCAUGCUUCAAGGACAUGGUGCCUCACCAGCCUCUUUAUUACAGCAACUGAACUGAAUACCAACAACAUUCCACUUCCAGCCAUCACAGAAGCUUUCAAGACACCCUGUCAUAACCAGCCCUGUCAUAGCCAAACAAGGGCUGCUGGGGAGAGUUUUGGUGCCCCACCCCUUUGGUUAUCCAUGAGCCCCAAACUGUCCACAGCCCGAUUGCCCCCGUGUAGGAACUAGAUUUGUUACCUCAUAAAAAAGUCACUGAAGGGCUUCAACGACAUGCAGGACCUUAGGACUCUCAAACCCUCAUCUCACUGGAUCAGGUGCCAGGUCACACGAACAAAGCAUCAGAGCAGAGUAAUUCCCCAGGUCUGCAGGACAUCUGAAGACAUUUCUGAAGACCAGAUAAGAGGAAGCUGAAAAAUUCAGCUUCAGAACCGCAUGUGUCUCUGAAACAAUAAAUGUUUUGAGUGAUCAGCAUUUCUAGGCAGUGAAACAAAUCAGUGUUUCCAUUCCCGGGGGAAGUGGGAAGCAAGCAAACUCCAUUCCUCUAUUCCAUAGCAUACAGGAAACCUAAGUGAUUGAUAGCAGCAGUAGGGAAAUGCACAUUCAGCUUAUAUUUCCAAUGUAAAUGACUUGCCAGCUCACCCCUCUGCUUCCUGUUCCUUCUCAGCACGCUCCCCCACACACACUCCCGCUGAUCGAUGUAGUGUGUGUGAGUCUGGGAGGAAGAAAGGAAGAAGGACUUGUUAGACUGCUUCCCCCCACCCCAAUUUAAAUGAGAAAGAU